Molecule: long non-coding RNA, 639 nt
Organism: Ipomoea nil (Japanese morning glory)
Lineage: Eukaryota; Viridiplantae; Streptophyta; Magnoliopsida; Solanales; Convolvulaceae
Exons: 2
Source: RefSeq, a predicted model, not a curated record
UCUGCUGUCACUUUCAUGAUGACAAAACAUUUAAAAACUAUUUGAUCCAUUCAAAACAUCUUCGCAAAUCCAUUUGAUCUUCCUAUAAAUACCCUCUUCACGGCCUAAAUUUUCUCAAACAAACACAAAAACAAAGAAAAAACAAAGAAGAAGAAUGGGUCUUACACAAUUUAACAAAGUGACCUUUAUUGCUAUCCUCUUUUGCUUCAUCCUCAUUGCAUCAUAUGAGGUUGAAGCACAACACCAUGGGAGUGGCGGUGGCCGUGGGGGAGGCGGUGGCCGUGGCCAUGGCGGAUGUGUUUCACGCAACUCUUGGAAUGGAGGUUGCUCAGGGCACUGUGGCGGGUGGUGCAAGGGCAAGGGUGGCUACAAAUGGAACUGUCAACAACAAACAUGUUACUGUUCCCAUAAGUGUUAAAUGAAAAUAUUUGUAUGAUGCACUAUUUUCAUGCCACAAAAAUAGUGCAUCACACAAAUUUCAACCUAGCAUAUAUAUAAUAUGAAAUAAAUGUUGCAACAAAUGGCUCUAGUCAUUUUGUCACAGCAACAAAUGUUGUCCCAAUAAAUGGGGUGUAUUUUAAUUAAUGUGUGUUGUAUACUUGUAUGUUGAAUAUAUUACGUGUGUGGAGUGUUUGAGUA